UGGCCAUAGGAACUCCCUAAUAAAACGACAUAGCCCCAUCGACUUUGGGUUCGUUUGAUUCAUCUUGAUGAGUACUUGCAACUUCCCAGUAAUGAAA
Molecule: long non-coding RNA, 97 nt
Organism: Aricia agestis (brown argus)
Lineage: Eukaryota; Metazoa; Arthropoda; Insecta; Lepidoptera; Lycaenidae
Exons: 3
Source: RefSeq, a predicted model, not a curated record